Molecule: ribosomal RNA, 460 nt
Filed under: uncultured Arcobacter sp.
Lineage: Bacteria; Pseudomonadati; Campylobacterota; Epsilonproteobacteria; Campylobacterales; Arcobacteraceae
Description: bacterial SSU rRNA
Rfam family: Bacterial small subunit ribosomal RNA
Source: RNAcentral
ACAAGCGGUGGAGCAUGUGGUUUAAUUCGACGAUACGCGAAGAACCUUACCUGGCCUUGACAUACUAAAAAGCUUUAAGAGAUUAGAGUGUGCUAGCUUGCUAGAAUUUAGAUACAGGUGCUGCACGGCUGUCGUCAGCUCGCGUCGUGAGAUGUUGGGUUAAGUCCCGCAACGAGCGCAACCCUCGUGUUUAGUUGCUAACAGUUCGGCUGAGAACUCUAAACAGACUGCCUACGCAAGUAGGAGGAAGGUGAGGACGACGUCAAGUCAUCAUGGCCCUUACGGCCAGGGCUACACACGUGCUACAAUGGGGUAUACAAAGAGCAGCGAUACGGUGACGUGGAGCAAAUCUAGAAAAUGCCUCUCAGUUCGGAUUGUAGUCUGCAACUCGACUACAUGAAGUUGGAAUCGCUAGUAAUCGUAGAUCAGCAAUGCUACGGUGAAUACGUUCCCGGGUCUU